RNAcentral lists this ribosomal RNA (467 nucleotides) under uncultured bacterium. RNAcentral describes it as "partial 16S ribosomal RNA". It matches the Rfam family "Bacterial small subunit ribosomal RNA", at positions 28 to 506 of the family's 1533-position model. The record is from RNAcentral.
GACGAACGCUGGCGGCGUGCUUAACACAUGCAAGUCGAACGGAAAGGCCCUGCUUUUGUGGGGUGCUCGAGUGGCGAACGGGUGAGUAACACGUGAGUAACCUGCCCUUGACUUUGGGAUAACUUCAGGAAACUGGGGCUAAUACCGGAUAGGAGCUCCUGCUGCAUGGUGGGGGUUGGAAAGUUUCGGCGGUUGGGGAUGGACUCGCGGCUUAUGAGCUUGUUGGUGGGGUAGUGGAUUACCAAGGCUUUGACGGGUAGCCGGCCUGGGAGGGUGACCGGCCACAUUGGGACAGGGAUGGGGCCCAGACUCAAACGGGAGGCAGCAGUGGGGAAUAUAGCAAACUGGGCGGAGGCAUGGUGCAGCAACGCCGCGUGCGGAAUGACGGCCUUCGGGUUGUAAACCGCUUUCGCCUGUGACGAAGCGUGAAUGACGGUAAUGGGUAAAGAAGCACCGGCUAACUACGU